Cyprinus carpio (common carp) is the source of this 1964-nucleotide long non-coding RNA. NCBI's taxonomy places the organism in Eukaryota, Metazoa, Chordata, Actinopteri, Cypriniformes, Cyprinidae. The record is from Ensembl.
AAAUCUGUGUUAAAGACAUGAAGACCAGAACAAUGUGGGCCAGAGCUGUUUGGAGGGAAGGUGAUGCUGAAAUGGAGGACGUUAUACCAUCCUGUUGGAUGAAGAAUGGCUGUGUUUUAUGGCCUGAUCAAGGGGCAAAAAAAGCCAUCAAAACCUUCAAACAACCUGAUGAUGGAUGGAUGACAUUUCCUCUGUUAAAAGUAAAAUUUCAGUCGGAUAACCGAAAGGAUUGUGACGACUAUGAUUUUACAACCACUGCUGAAUUGAGUUGCCCAGAGGAAGAGAAGAUUUCUGAGAAGAGGCAGCCAAAAAAAAAGUGCUACCCUGACUAUGAAAUGGGUGACUUUCCUGAUGGUGAGGUGAAACAAUGUGAAGAAGCAGCUGUUGCUGAACCCCAAGCUUAUCAGCACACAAAUGAUUUUCCUCCUCUUCCCCAUGUGCCCGAAAAAGUUAAGAAGAAUGUAAAUUCUUUUUGGGAAAAAGGGGGUACUGUUGCCAUCCAUCCUACCCAAAGCAGUCCUUCUGGACCAUUCAUAUACAGCCCCAGCAAGACUCUCUCUCAUGGCAAAGGAAGCCCCAGUAAAAAGUCACUCUUACAUGGCAGAAGAAGCCCCAGCAAGACUCUCUCUCGCGGCAGGAGAAGCCCCAGCAAGACACUCUCACAUGGGAGAGGGAGCCCCAGUAAGAAGUCACUCUCACGCGGCAGAAAAAGCCCCAGCAAGACUCUCUCUCAUGGCAGAGGAAGCCCCAGUAAGAAGUCACUCUCACGCGGCAGAAGAAGCCCCAGCAAGACUCUCUCUCAUGGCAGAGGAAGCCCCAGUAAGAAGUCACUCUCACGCGGCAGAAGAAGCCCCAGCAAGACUCUCUCUCAUGGCAGAGGAAGCCCCAGUAAGAAGUCACUCUCACGCGGCAGAAGAAGCCCCAGCAAGACUCUCUCUCAUGGCAGAGGAAGCCCCAGUAAGAAGUCAGUCUCACGCGGCAGGAGAAGCCCCAGUCGGUCCUCCUCACACAGCAAGCAGCGAAGCCCCAGCCGGUCACUCUCAUCACAUGGCACGAGAAUCCCCAGCCCUUCCCCAUCACUCAUUAAGAAAAGAAGCCCCAAAAAGUCUCUCUCAACACAUGACUGUAAAAGCCACAGCAAAUCUCUCUCAUAUGCCAGAAGAAGCCCCAGUAAGUCUCUCUCAACGCAUCGCAGUAGAAGCCACAGCAAAUCUCUCUCAUAUGACAGAAGCCCCAGCAAGUCCCUCUCACAAAGCUGUAACUGGAGUCCACCUGAAUACCUGUCAGGUAGACAGUUGAGUUCCUCAGACAGUCCGUCAUGCAGCAUGUCUGCAUCUCGUGAUGAAUUCCAAAAUGACAGUAAGAGGAAGAGAAAAAGGGGUUUACAGAGAAACCACAGCCAGCAUCUGAGUAGACACCCACAUAAGCCCAGCAAGAGAGUAAGGUCCGUGAGUGCAGAUGAGGACAGGGAGAGAUUGGAGCCUGCUAACUCCAGUAUUUUCCAAAAGGCCUCAACACCAAAAUUUAAGACAUCAAACUUUCCUCUGUCAGAGGAAAAAUUCCAGAGGAAAGUUCUUCAAAUGCUGAUUGAUAUAAGAGAUUCUGUAAAAAUCGCAAUCAGAACAAUGGAUGGGACUGCAUUUAAUCUGAAGCAAGCCAACAGUCUGAACGAGUUGCAAGAAUUGGAGUCUCGUUUGCUAGAUAAAAAUGAAAGAGCAGCCUUGGUGAGUUUUAUCUGAUCAAUGCAAUCAAUCCAAUUCUUAAGACAAAUUAUUAUUCCCAAAGAUUGAAGGGUUUGUUCAUCAGUAAAUCUGUUUAUAAUUUAAAGUGAUUGUCUUUUAAGAAGAUUGUGUCUUUUAUUUUAUUGAUAUAAUUUGUUUGCAAUAAUAAGGCUCACAUUUUUUGUUGUUGUAUAUUUUAAUCUUUGGUCAUCAAAUAAAAUCAAACCAAUAAUUUCUUUACCA